AACUUUGAAAUCAGUAAUACAAUGACCUUGCAGAAGUGGGAUUAUAGGAAAAAAAGGCUACAAAACAUACAGUUUGAAGUACAGAACAUGAAACUAUAGCAUAAAACUGCUUGUCAGCAAUUAGCUUUCCAAUAUGAGCUGGAACCU
Long non-coding RNA from Juglans microcarpa x Juglans regia, 147 nucleotides. RefSeq lists it as uncharacterized. The transcript is spliced from 3 exons. The record is from RefSeq and is a predicted model, not a curated record. NCBI's taxonomy places the organism in Eukaryota, Viridiplantae, Streptophyta, Magnoliopsida, Fagales, Juglandaceae.